This 244-nucleotide unclassified non-coding RNA is filed under the name plant metagenome. RNAcentral's name for it is "partial contains small subunit ribosomal RNA and internal transcribed spacer 1". The stretch from base 1 to 46 matches the Rfam family "Eukaryotic small subunit ribosomal RNA", at positions 1786 to 1831 of the family's 1831-position model. The record is from RNAcentral.
AAGUCGUAACAGGGUUUCCGUAGGUGAACCUGCGGAAGGAUCAUUACCUUCUAUAUCGGGGGGCCGGAAUACUGGAAGUUUAGGGCCCUAGAGGUUUCUUUCCCACUCUUUCACCCGCCCCUGUCUGAAUAUACCCAUGUCUUUUGCGUACGAUUUGUUUCCUUGGUGGGCUUGCCCGCCAAUAGGACAUUUAUAUAACCCUUUGUAAUUGCAGUCAGCGUCAGAAAACAAACAAUAAUUACAA